CUACGGGUGGCUGCAGUGAGGAAUAUUGGUCAAUGGGCGCAAGCCUGAACCAGCCAUCCCGCGUGCAGGAUGACGGCCCUAUGGGUUGUAAACUGCUUUUGUUUGCCAAGAAUGGCCACUACGUGUAGUGGUUUGACGGUAGCAGAUGAAUAAGGACCGGCUAACUCCGUGCCAGCAGGCCGCGGUAAUACGGAGGGUCCAAGCGUUAUCCGGAUUCAUUGGGUUUAAAGGGUGCGCAGGCGGGCCUUUAAGUCAGUGGUGAAAUCUUGCCGCUUAACGGUAAAAUUGCCAUUGAUACUGAAGGUCUUGAAUAUAGUUGAGGUAGGCGGAAUGUGUUGUGUAGCGGUGAAAUGCAUAGAUAUGACACAGAACGCCGAUUGCGAAGGCAGCUUACUAAGCUAUGAUUGACGCUGAGGCACGAAAGCGUGGGGAGCGAACAGGAUUAGAUACCCGAGUAGUC
RNAcentral lists this ribosomal RNA (460 nucleotides) under uncultured bacterium. Its description in RNAcentral is "partial 16S ribosomal RNA". It matches the Rfam family "Bacterial small subunit ribosomal RNA", at positions 339 to 795 of the family's 1533-position model. The record is from RNAcentral.